GACGAACGCUGGCGGCGUGCUUGACACAUGCAAGUCGAACGGAAAGGCCCUGCUUUUGUGGGGUGCUCGAGUGGCGAACGGGUGAGUAACACGUGAGUAACCUGCCCUUGACUUUGGGAUAACUUCAGGAAACUGGGGCUAAUACCGGAUAGGAGCUCCUGCUGCAUGGUGGGGGUUGGAAAGUUUCGGCGGUUGGGAUGGACUCGCGGCUUAUCAGCUUGUUGGUGGGGUAGUGGCUUACCAAGGCUUUGACGGGUAGCCGGCCUGAGAGGGUGACCGGCCACAUUGGGACUGAGAUACGGCCCAGACUCCUACGGGAGGCAGCAGUGGGGAAUAUUGCACAAGGGGCGGAAGCCUGAUGCAGCAACGCCGCGUGCGGGAUGACGGCCUUCGGGUUGUAAACCGCUUUCGCCUGUGACGAAGCGUGAGUGACGGUAAUGGGUAAAGAAGCACCGGCUAACUACGUG
Molecule: ribosomal RNA, 467 nt
Filed under: uncultured bacterium
Lineage: Bacteria
Description: partial 16S ribosomal RNA
Rfam family: Bacterial small subunit ribosomal RNA
Source: RNAcentral